RNAcentral lists this ribosomal RNA (427 nucleotides) under uncultured bacterium. RNAcentral's name for it is "partial 16S ribosomal RNA". It matches the Rfam family "Bacterial small subunit ribosomal RNA", at positions 355 to 774 of the family's 1533-position model. The record is from RNAcentral.
UGGGGAAUAUUGCACAAUGGGCGCAAGCCUGAUGCAGCCAUGCCGCGUGUAUGAAGAAGGCCUUCGGGUUGUAAAGUACUUUCAGCGAGGAGGAAGGCGUUGUGGUUAAUAACCGCAACGAUUGACGUUACUCGCAGAAGAAGCACCGGCUAACUCCGUGCCAGCAGCCGCGGUAAUACGGAGGGUGCAAGCGUUAAUCGGAAUUACUGGGCGUAAAGCGCACGCAGGCGGUCUGUCAAGUCGGAUGUGAAAUCCCCGGGCUCAACAUGGGAACUGCAUCCGAAACUGGCAGGCUAGAGUCUUGUAGAGGGGGGUAGAAUUCCAGGUGUAGCGGUGAAAUGCGUAGAGAUCUGGAGGAAUACCGGUGGCGAAGGCGGCCCCCUGGACAAAGACUGACGCUCAGGUGCGAAAGCGUGGGGAGCAAACA